This 254-nucleotide ribosomal RNA is filed under the name uncultured bacterium. Its description in RNAcentral is "partial 16S ribosomal RNA". It matches the Rfam family "Bacterial small subunit ribosomal RNA", at positions 524 to 776 of the family's 1533-position model. The record is from RNAcentral.
UACGGGGGGAGCAAGCGUUGUUCGGAUUUACUGGGCGGAAAGGGCGCGUAGGCGGCCACCGCAAGUCGACUGUGAAAUCUCCGGGCUUAACCCGGAAAGGUCAGCCGAUACUGCGGGGCUAGAGUGCAGAAGGGGCAACUGGAAUUCUCGGUGUAGCGGUGAAAUGCGUAGAUAUCGAGAGGAACACCUGCGGCGAAGGCGGGUUGCUGGGCUGACACUGACGCUGAGGCGCGAAAGCUAGGGGAGCGAACGGG